This 294-nucleotide ribosomal RNA is filed under the name uncultured bacterium. RNAcentral's name for it is "partial 16S ribosomal RNA". It matches the Rfam family "Bacterial small subunit ribosomal RNA", at positions 44 to 334 of the family's 1533-position model. The record is from RNAcentral.
GUGCCUAACACAUGCAAGUCGAGCGAGAAAAGGGGGGCAACUCCCUGAGUACAGCGGCGCACGGGUGAGUAACACGUGGGUAAUCUGCCCUGAAGUGGGGAAUAACACCGGGAAACCGGUGCUAAUACCGCAUACGAUCACGAUGUCUGCGGAUGUUGUGAUGAAAGGAGCAAUUCGCUUCAGGAGGAGCCCGCGGCUGAUUAGCUAGUUGGUGAGGUAACGGCUCACCAAGGCAACGAUCAGUAUCCGGUCUGAGAGGACGGUCGGACACACUGGAACUGAGACACGGUCCAG